RNAcentral lists this microRNA (22 nucleotides) under Monodelphis domestica (gray short-tailed opossum). Its description in RNAcentral is "mdo-miR-7252-5p". The record is from miRBase by way of RNAcentral. Lineage: Eukaryota; Metazoa; Chordata; Mammalia; Didelphimorphia; Didelphidae.
UUGGAUAAAGAACAAGGAGAUA